GACGAACGCUGGCUGCGUGCUUAACACAUGCAAGUCGAACGCUGAAGCCCUGGUGCUUGCACCGGGGUGGAUGAGUGGCGAACGGGUGAGUAACACGUGAGUAACCUGCCCCCGACUUCGGGAUAAGCCCGGGAAACUGGGUCUAAUACCGGAUAUGACCAUGACUCGCAUGAGUGAUGGUGGAAAGUUUUUUCGGUUGGGGAUGGGCUCGCGGCCUAUCAGUUUGUUGGUGAGGUAAUGGCUCACCAAGACGACGACGGGUAGCCGGCCUGAGAGGGCGACCGGCCACACUGGGACUGAGACACGGCCCAGACUCCUACGGGAGGCAGCAGUGGGGAAUAUUGCACAAUGGGGGAAACCCUGAUGCAGCGACGCAGCGUGCGGGAUGACGGCCUUCGGGUUGUAAACCGCUUUCAGCAGGGAAGAAGCCUUUCGGGGUGACGGUA
This 446-nucleotide ribosomal RNA is filed under the name uncultured bacterium. RNAcentral's name for it is "bacterial SSU rRNA". It matches the Rfam family "Bacterial small subunit ribosomal RNA", at positions 28 to 477 of the family's 1533-position model. The record is from RNAcentral.